GACGAACGCNGGCGGCGUGCCUAAUACAUGCAAGUAGAACGCUGAAGGAGGAGCUUGCUUCUCCGGAUGAGUUGCGAACGGGUGAGUAACGCGUAGGUAACCUGCCUGGUAGCGGGGGAUAACUAUUGGAAACGAUAGCUAAUACCGCAUAAUAGCAGUUAUUGCAUGAUAACUGUUUGAAAGGUGCAAUUGCACCACUACCAGAUGGACCUGCGUUGUAUUAGCUAGUUGGUGGGGUAACGGCUCACCAAGGCGACGAUACAUAGCCGACCUGAGAGGGUGAUCGGCCACACUGGGACUGAGACACGGCCCAGACUCCUACGGGAGGCAGCAGUAGGGAAUCUUCGGCAAUGGACGGAAGUCUGACCGAGCAACGCCGCGUGAGUGAAGAAGGUUUUCGGAUCGUAAAGCUCUGUUGUAAGAGAAGAACGAGUGUGAGAGNGGAAAGUCACAC
This 454-nucleotide ribosomal RNA is filed under the name uncultured bacterium. Its description in RNAcentral is "bacterial SSU rRNA". It matches the Rfam family "Bacterial small subunit ribosomal RNA", at positions 28 to 469 of the family's 1533-position model. The record is from RNAcentral.